AAAACUGUGCAAUGCGCGAAAGCGCGACACGGGAAACCUGAGUGCCUUGACAAAGUCAAGGCUUUUCUUAAGCCUAAAAAGCUUAAGGAAUAAGAGCUGGGUAAGACGGGUGCCAGCCGCCGCGGUAACACCCGCAGCUCGAGUGGUGGUCACUUUUAUUGAGCCUAAAGCGUUCGUAGCCGGUCCUGUAAAUCUUCAGAAAAAUUCUCCCGCUCAACGGGAGAUCCUCUGAAGAGACUGUGGGACUAGGGACUGGGUGAGGUUGAAUGUACUUCUGGGGUAGGGGUAAAAUCCUGUAAUCCUGGAAGGACAACCGGUGGCGAAGGCGUUCAACUAGAACAGAUCCGACGGUGAGGAACGAGGGCUAGGGGAGCAA
This 376-nucleotide ribosomal RNA is filed under the name uncultured Thermogymnomonas sp. RNAcentral's name for it is "bacterial SSU rRNA". It matches the Rfam family "Archaeal small subunit ribosomal RNA", at positions 343 to 722 of the family's 1478-position model. The record is from RNAcentral. Lineage: Archaea; Methanobacteriati; Thermoplasmatota; Thermoplasmata; Thermoplasmatales.